GAUGAACGCUGGCGGCGUGCUUAACACAUGCAAGUCGAACGAUGAAGCCCAGCUUGCUGGGUGGAUUAGUGGCGAACGGGUGAGUAACACGUGAGUAACCUGCCCUUAACUCUGGGAUAAGCCUGGGAAACUGGGUCUAAUACCGGAUAGGAGCGCCUACCGCAUGGUGGGUGUUGGAAAGAUUUAUCGGUUUUGGAUGGACUCGCGGCCUAUCAGCUUGUUGGUGAGGUAAUGGCUCACCAAGGCGACGACGGGUAGCCGGCCUGAGAGGGUGACCGGCCACACUGGGACUGAGACACGGCCCAGACUCCUACGGGAGGCAGCAGGGGGGAAUAUUGCACAAUGGGCGAAAGCCUGAUGCAGCGACGCCGCGUGAGGGAUGAAGGCCUUCGGGUUGUAAACCUCUUUCAGUGGGGAAGAAGCGAAAGUGACGGUACCUGCAGAAGAAGCACCGGCUAACUACGUG
RNAcentral lists this ribosomal RNA (466 nucleotides) under uncultured bacterium. Its description in RNAcentral is "partial 16S ribosomal RNA". It matches the Rfam family "Bacterial small subunit ribosomal RNA", at positions 28 to 507 of the family's 1533-position model. The record is from RNAcentral.